Molecule: ribosomal RNA, 253 nt
Filed under: uncultured bacterium
Lineage: Bacteria
Description: partial 16S ribosomal RNA
Rfam family: Bacterial small subunit ribosomal RNA
Source: RNAcentral
GACGAACUGUGCAAACGUUAUUCGGAAUCACUGGGCUUAAAGGGUGCGUAGGCGGUCUUGUAAGUCGGGUGUGAAAGCCCCCGGCUCAACCGGGGAACUGCGUCCUAAACUGCGAGGCUUGAGUGAGGUAGGGGUGUGUGGAACUUCCAGUGGAGCGGUGAGAUGUGUUGAUAUUGGAAGGAACGCCGGUGGCGAAAGCGACACACUGGACCUUGUCUGACGCUGAGGCACGAAAGCCAGGGGAGCAAACGGG